UGAACUCUGCCACUAUUACUUUGAAAGC
Molecule: non-coding RNA, 28 nt
Filed under: Mus musculus (house mouse)
Lineage: Eukaryota; Metazoa; Chordata; Mammalia; Rodentia; Muridae
Source: RNAcentral